RNAcentral lists this transfer RNA (74 nucleotides) under Candidatus Ryanbacteria bacterium CG10_big_fil_rev_8_21_14_0_10_43_42. RNAcentral's name for it is "tRNA-Ala". It matches the Rfam family "tRNA". Rfam says of the family: Transfer RNA (tRNA) molecules are approximately 80 nucleotides in length. Their secondary structure includes four short double-helical elements and three loops (D, anti-codon, and T loops). Lineage: Bacteria; Candidatus Ryaniibacteriota. The record is from RNAcentral.
GGGCCUAUGGUCUAGUGGUACGAUACUACAUUCGCAUUGUAGUGACGGGAGUUCGAUUCUCCCUAGGUCCACAA